CCUACGGGAGGCAGCAGUGGGGAAUAUUGGGCAAUGGGCGCAAGCCUGACCCAGCAACGUAGCGUGAAGGAUGACGGCCCUAGGGUUGGUAACUUCUUUUGUUAGGGAAGUGUAGCGGCUGGUACCUGACGAAUUAGAUACGGCUAACUAAGUGCCAGCAGCUGCGGUAAUACGUAGGUGGCCAGUGUUGUCCGGAUUUACUGGGUUUAACGGGAGUGUAGCCGGGUUGACAAGUCAGCUGUGAAAUGCUGCGGCUUAACCGCAGAACUGCAUUUGAAACUGUUGAUCUUGAGUACUCGGAAGGCAGACGGAAUUCCUAGUGUAGCGGUGAAAUGCUUAGAUAUUAGGAGGAACACCGGUGGCGAAGGCAGUCUGCUGGACAGCAACUGACGGUGAGGCGCGAAAGCGUGGGGAUCAAACAGGAUUAGAUACCCCAGUAGUC
This 442-nucleotide ribosomal RNA is filed under the name uncultured bacterium. RNAcentral describes it as "partial 16S ribosomal RNA". It matches the Rfam family "Bacterial small subunit ribosomal RNA", at positions 338 to 795 of the family's 1533-position model. The record is from RNAcentral.